RNAcentral lists this ribosomal RNA (465 nucleotides) under uncultured bacterium. Its description in RNAcentral is "partial 16S ribosomal RNA". It matches the Rfam family "Bacterial small subunit ribosomal RNA", at positions 28 to 507 of the family's 1533-position model. The record is from RNAcentral.
GACGAACGCUGGCGGCGUGCUUAACACAUGCAAGUCGAACGGAAAGGCCCUGCUUGCAGGGUACUCGAGUGGCGAACGGGUGAGUAACACGGGGGUGAUCUGCCCUGCACUUCGGGAUAAGCCGGGGAAACUGGGUCUAAUACCGGAUAGGAGCCAUUUUUAGGGUGAUGGUUGGAAAGUUUUUUCGGUGUAGGAUGAGCUCGCGGCCUAUCAGCUUGUUGGUGGGGUAAUGGCCUACCAAGGCGGCGACGGGUAGCCGGCCUGAGAGGGUGGACGGCCACAUUGGGACUGAGAUACGGCCCAGACUCCUACGGGAGGCAGCAGUGGGGAAUAUUGCACAAUGGGCGCAAGCCUGAUGCAGCGACGCCGCGUGGGGGAUGACGGCCUUCGGGUUGUAAACUCCUUUCGCUAGGGACGAAGCUUUUUGUGACGGUACCUAGAUAAGAAGCACCGGCUAACUACGUG